RNAcentral lists this ribosomal RNA (274 nucleotides) under uncultured bacterium. Its description in RNAcentral is "partial 16S ribosomal RNA". It matches the Rfam family "Bacterial small subunit ribosomal RNA", at positions 523 to 796 of the family's 1533-position model. The record is from RNAcentral.
CUACGGAGGGUGCGAGCGUUAAUCGGAAUUACUGGGCGUAAAGCGUACGUAGGCGGUUGGUUAAGUUAGAUGUGAAAGCCCCGGGCUUAACCUGGGAACUGCAUUUAAAACUGGCGAACUAGAGUUGAGUAGAGGGGAGUGGAAUUUCAGGUGUAGCGGUGAAAUGCGUAGAGAUCUGAAGGAACACCAGUGGCGAAGGCGACUCCCUGGACUCGAACUGACGCUGAGGUACGAAAGCGUGGGUAGCAAACGGGAUUAGAAACCCUUGUAGUCC